UGGCAGAAAAGGAUUCGUUUA
This 21-nucleotide microRNA is filed under the name Populus trichocarpa (black cottonwood). Its description in RNAcentral is "ptc-miR6469". The record is from miRBase by way of RNAcentral. Lineage: Eukaryota; Viridiplantae; Streptophyta; Magnoliopsida; Malpighiales; Salicaceae.